AAAUUGAAGAGUUUGAUCAUGGCUCAGAUUGAACGCUGGCGGCAGGCCUAACACAUGCAAGUCGAACGGUAACAGGAAGCAGCUUGCUGCUUUGCUGACGAGUGGCGGACGGGUGAGUAAUGUCUGGGAAACUGCCUGAUGGAGGGGGAUAACUACUGGAAACGGUGGCUAAUACCGCAUAACGUCGCAAGACCAAAGAGGGGGACCUUCGGGCCUCUUGCCAUCAGAUGUGCCCAGAUGGGAUUAGCUUGUUGGUGAGGUAACGGCUCACCAAGGCGACGAUCCCUAGCUGGUCUGAGAGGAUGACCAGCCACACUGGAACUGAGACACGGUCCAGACUCCUACGGGAGGCAGCAGUGGGGAAUAUUGCACAAUGGGCGCAAGCCUGAUGCAGCCAUGCCGCGUGUAUGAAGAAGGCCUUCGGGUUGUAAAGUACUUUCAGCGGGGAGGAAGGUGUUGUGGUUAAUAACCACAGCAAUUGACGUUACCCGCAGAAGAAGCACCGGCUAACUCCGUGCCAGCAGCCGCGGUAAUACGGAGGGUGCAAGCGUUAAUCGGAAUUACUGGGCGUAAAGCGCACGCAGGCGGUCUGUCAAGUCGGAUGUGAAAUCCCCGGGCUCAACCUGGGAACUGCAUUCGAAACUGGCAGGCUUGAGUCUUGUAGAGGGGGGUAGAAUUCCAGGUGUAGCGGUGAAAUGCGUAGAGAUCUGGAGGAAUACCGGUGGCGAAGGCGGCCCCCUGGACAAAGACUGACGCUCAGGUGCGAAAGCGUGGGGAGCAAACAGGAUUAGAUACCCUGGUAGUCCACGCCGUAAACGAUGUCUACUUGGAGGUUGUGCCCUUGAGGCGUGGCUUCCGGAGCUAACGCGUUAAGUAGACCGCCUGGGGAGUACGGCCGCAAGGUUAAAACUCAAAUGAAUUGACGGGGGCCCGCACAAGCGGUGGAGCAUGUGGUUUAAUUCGAUGCAACGCGAAGAACCUUACCUGGUCUUGACAUCCACGGAAGAAUUCAGAGAUGGAUUUGUGCCUUCGGGAACCGUGAGACAGGUGCUGCAUGGCUGUCGUCAGCUCGUGUUGUGAAAUGUUGGGUUAAGUCCCGCAACGAGCGCAACCCUUAUUCUUUGUUGCCAGCGGUCCGGCCGGGAACUCAAAGGAGACUGCCAGUGAUAAACUGGAGGAAGGUGGGGAUGACGUCAAGUCAUCAUGGCCCUUACGACCAGGGCUACACACGUGCUACAAUGGCGCAUACAAAGAGAAGCGACCUCGCGAGAGCAAGCGGACCUCAUAAAGUGCGUCGUAGUCCGGAUUGGAGUCUGCAACUCGACUCCAUGAAGUCGGAAUCGCUAGUAAUCGUGGAUCAGAAUGCCACGGUGAAUACGUUCCCGGGCCUUGUACACACCGCCCGUCACACCAUGGGAGUGGGUUGCAAAAGAAGUAGGUAGCUUAACCUUCGGGAGGGCGCUUACCACUUUGUGAUUCAUGACUGGGGUGAAGUCGUAACAAGGUAACCGUAGGGGAACCUGCGGUUGGAUCACCUCCUUACCUUAAAGAAGC
RNAcentral lists this ribosomal RNA (1554 nucleotides) under Salmonella enterica. RNAcentral's name for it is "bacterial SSU rRNA". It matches the Rfam family "Bacterial small subunit ribosomal RNA". Lineage: Bacteria; Pseudomonadati; Pseudomonadota; Gammaproteobacteria; Enterobacterales; Enterobacteriaceae. The record is from RNAcentral.